AUUGAACGCUGGCGGCAGGCCUAACACAUGCAAGUCGAGCGGAUGAAGGGAGCUUGCUCCUGGAUUCAGCGGCGGACGGGUGAGUAAUGCCUAGGAAUCUGCCUGGUAGUGGGGGAUAACGUCCGGAAACGGGCGCUAAUACCGCAUACGUCCUGAGGGAGAAAGUGGGGGAUCUUCGGACCUCACGCUCUCAGAUGAGCCUAGGUCGGAUUAGCUAGUUGGUGGGGUAAAGGCCUACCAAGGCGACGAUCCGUAACUGGUCUGAGAGGAUGAUCAGUCACACUGGAACGGAGACACGGUCCAGACUCCUACGGGAGGCAGCAGUGGGGAAUAUUGGACAAUGGGCGAAAGCCUGAUCCAGCCAUGCCGCGUGUGUGAAGAAGGUCUUCGGAUUGUAAAGCACUUUAAGUUGGGAGGAAGGGCAGUAAGUUAAUACCUUGCUGUUUUGACGUUACCAACAGAAUAAGCACCGGCUAACUUCGUG
This 484-nucleotide ribosomal RNA is filed under the name uncultured bacterium. RNAcentral describes it as "partial 16S ribosomal RNA". It matches the Rfam family "Bacterial small subunit ribosomal RNA", at positions 30 to 507 of the family's 1533-position model. The record is from RNAcentral.